AACGAACGCUGGCGGCAUGCCUAACACAUGCAAGUCGAACGAGACCUUCGGGUCUAGUGGCGCACGGGUGCGUAACGCGUGGGAACCUGCCCUUAGGUUCGGCAUAACUCCCCGAAAGGGGUGCUAAUACCGGAUAAUGUCUUCGGACCAAAGAUUUAUCGCCUUUGGAUGGGCCCGCGUUGGAUUAGCUCGUUGGUAGGGUAAAAGCCUACCAAGGCGACGAUCCAUAGCUGGUCUGAGAGGAUGAUCAGCCACACUGGGACUGAGACACGGCCCAGACUCCUACGGGAGGCAGCAGUGGGGAAUAUUGGACAAUGGGCGAAGGCCUGAUCCAGCAAGGCCGCGUGAGUGAUGAAGGCCUUAGGGUUGUAAAGCUCUUUUAACCGGGAUGAUAAUGACAGUACCGGGAGAAUAAGCUCCGGCUAACUCCGUG
This 433-nucleotide ribosomal RNA is filed under the name uncultured bacterium. RNAcentral describes it as "partial 16S ribosomal RNA". It matches the Rfam family "Bacterial small subunit ribosomal RNA", at positions 29 to 507 of the family's 1533-position model. The record is from RNAcentral.